ACUGGCUGACGAGUCCCGAAUAAGACGAAAUGUGCAUCCUGGAU
Molecule: non-coding RNA, 44 nt
Filed under: Trichobilharzia regenti
Lineage: Eukaryota; Metazoa; Platyhelminthes; Trematoda; Strigeidida; Schistosomatidae
Source: RNAcentral